This 119-nucleotide small nucleolar RNA is filed under the name Tupaia belangeri (northern tree shrew). Lineage: Eukaryota; Metazoa; Chordata; Mammalia; Scandentia; Tupaiidae. The record is from RNAcentral.
UCCGGUCCUUAUUGAAGCUGCAGCUGCUUCACCAUAGCCAUUGUGUCAAAGUGAGCUGAGUGACAUUUUCCCACCAUCCCGUAGUUUGCAUAUGAUCUGCACUUGUGGGAAAGACAGCU